Molecule: unclassified non-coding RNA, 21 nt
Filed under: Chlamydomonas reinhardtii
Lineage: Eukaryota; Viridiplantae; Chlorophyta; Chlorophyceae; Chlamydomonadales; Chlamydomonadaceae
Description: small RNA Cre_3179
Source: RNAcentral
UGCUGCGACCUCCAAGUCUGC